CAUCCUGCUGGCCUCCCGAGGGAGCUGCAGAGUCUUCCAUAACACUUUUUGCACCCAGGAAACCUUUCGGAAUUGCUCCGAUGUGUAUACUAUUUCGGGGCUUGAUUCCCGAAGCUAGAGCUCGCUUUGGAGGUUUCUGGAAGAAAAGAGAAGAAGUGGAACAUUUUGUUUCUUCCCCCCAACUCCCAGCACCUCCUGACUAUUUGUUCCUACCUCCAUAUUAGAACAGGAAGCAUGGCGGACACUUCCUGUAUAAACACCGCGUAUCUACUACCGGGUUGUAGUUCAGAUGAGCAAAGUAUCAUAUAUUUUAUUCCUGAGCAAAGUAUCAUAUAUUUUAUUCCUGAGCACAAUGAUCGUCGGACCCCCCCUCACUCUGGAUUCUGCCGCUGUCCCGCUGGGCUCUUAGGCAGUCCCUAACACCGCCCCCCGACCCCCCCGACCCGCUUCCCCUCUUCUCUUCUGGAUGAGGUGUUAAUUGGAUCUCGUCUAGUUUCUGUCAUGCAAAUUUUUUUUUCAUAUGUUUGUAAAAAUCAGAAUCCUUGUUUUCCCCUUGAUUUAGCAGUUCAUCUUGUAGCUUCUGAAACACUUCACUCAUAAAUAUAAAUGCCUUCCCCCGUUCAUUCCACAUUGUGCCUAUUCAUGUCUGUUUUUUUUAAAUCAGAGACCUUCAAGCUGGAAAUUUUACGUACUUUGUUCUGUUGACAAGACAGUAGUUUUCUUGGUCUAUUUUUUUCGAAAUUCUAUGGCUUAAAUUGGAUAUGCUUUUCUCCAGCAAGGCAUUAACAGGAAGCCUUUCUUAUGUGAAACUGAUCUGUGCUGUAUUGUGACAGAACAGACUUUCAUUACAUAUUCUUUGCCGUACGCCUCGCGAGUACUAAAUUUUAAUUUCCACACAUUUAUUGACCCUGGAAUAAGUUGCUCCUUGGUCUGGGUGCCACAUUUACUUUCUCUGAUGACACCUCUCUUGGAACACAAGGUAAUCCUGGAUGCUGGGAUCUGUUUUACGUCACUUCAUGUUUCCCCUGCCUGUCGGUCACUUUUGUUUCAUCUCAGUGUAUGAUAACUCAGCUGCUGCUGGAGAAUUGUUAAGUGAUUUUUUUUUUCUCUGCCUGAUGGCUCUGGACGGAAAGAUGAAAAUGCAGCCUCAUCCCUUA
Molecule: non-coding RNA, 1157 nt
Organism: Heterocephalus glaber (naked mole-rat)
Lineage: Eukaryota; Metazoa; Chordata; Mammalia; Rodentia; Bathyergidae
Source: RefSeq, a predicted model, not a curated record